CACCGCGGUUAUACGAGAGGCCCUAGUUGACAGACACCGGCGUAAGGGUGGUUAAGGAGAGCAAAAAUAAAGCCAAAGGGCCUCUUGGCCGUCAUACGCUUCUGAGUGUCCGAAGCCCAAAAACGAAAGUAGCUUUAAUGCAGCCCACCUGACCCCACGAAAACUGAGAAACAAACUGGGAUUAGAUACCCCACUAUGCUCAGCCGUAAACCUAGACGUUAUACCACAACAAACGUCCGCCAGGGUACUACGAGCGUUAGCUUAAAACCCAAAGGACUUGGCGGUGCCUUAGACCCCCCUAGAGGAGCCUGUUCUCGAACCGAUAACCCCCGUUAAACCUCACCACUUCUAGUCAUUCCCGCCUAUAUACCGCCGUCGUCAGCUUACCCUGUGAAGGACUAAUAGUAAGCUAAGUGGAUACAUUCCAAAACGUCAGGUCGAGGUGUAGCGCACGAAGUGGGAAGAAAUGGGCUACAUUUUCUAAUUUAGAAUAUUACGAACAGUACCCUGAAAAAAUUACUCGAAGGAGGAUUUAGUAGUAAAAAGGAAAUAGAGUGUCCUUUUGAACCCGGCUCUGAGGCGCGUACACACCGCCCGUCACUCUCCCCUGUCACUCAGCAACAAAUGUUCUUAACACCAAAGCACUGACGAGGGGAGGCAAGUCGUAACAUGGUAAGUGUACCGGAAGGUGCACUUGGAUCAAAUACAGGGCGUGGCUGAG
This 721-nucleotide ribosomal RNA is filed under the name Lefua costata (eightbarbel loach). RNAcentral's name for it is "partial small subunit ribosomal RNA". It matches the Rfam family "Bacterial small subunit ribosomal RNA", at positions 513 to 1533 of the family's 1533-position model. Lineage: Eukaryota; Metazoa; Chordata; Actinopteri; Cypriniformes; Nemacheilidae. The record is from RNAcentral.